AUACGUAGGGGGCGAGCGUUGUCCGGAAUUACUGGGCGUAAAGGGCGCGCAGGCGGCCGAUCAAGUUAGAUGUGAAAUACCCGGGCUUAACCUGGGAACUGCAUUUAAAACUGGUUGGCUAGGAGUGCAGGAGAGGGAAGCGGAAUUCCUAGUGUAGCGGUGAAAUGCGUAGAUAUUAGGAGGAACACCAGUGGCGAAGGCGGCUUUCUGGACUGUAACUGACGCUGAGGCGCGAAAGCGUGGGGAGC
RNAcentral lists this ribosomal RNA (248 nucleotides) under uncultured bacterium. RNAcentral's name for it is "partial 16S ribosomal RNA". It matches the Rfam family "Bacterial small subunit ribosomal RNA", at positions 523 to 769 of the family's 1533-position model. The record is from RNAcentral.